RNAcentral lists this ribosomal RNA (465 nucleotides) under Vreelandella stevensii. Its description in RNAcentral is "partial 16S ribosomal RNA". It matches the Rfam family "Bacterial small subunit ribosomal RNA", at positions 338 to 795 of the family's 1533-position model. Lineage: Bacteria; Pseudomonadati; Pseudomonadota; Gammaproteobacteria; Oceanospirillales; Halomonadaceae. The record is from RNAcentral.
CCUACGGGUGGCUGCAGUGGGGAAUAUUGGACAAUGGGGGCAACCCUGAUCCAGCCAUGCCGCGUGUGUGAAGAAGGCCCUCGGGUUGUAAAGCACUUUCAGUGAGGAAGAACGCCUGGUGGUUAAUACCCAUCAGGAAAGACAUCACUCACAGAAGAAGCACCGGCUAACUCCGUGCCAGCAGCCGCGGUAAUACGGAGGGUGCGAGCGUUAAUCGGAAUUACUGGGCGUAAAGCGCGCGUAGGUGGCUUGAUAAGCCGGUUGUGAAAGCCCCGGGCUCAACCUGGGAACGGCAUCCGGAACUGUCAAGCUAGAGUGCAGGAGAGGAAGGUAGCAUUCCCGGUGUAGCGGUGAAAUGCGUAGAGAUCGGGAGGAAUACCAGUGGCGAAGGCGGCCUUCUGGACUGACACUGACACUGAGGUGCGAAAGCGUGGGUAGCAAACAGGAUUAGAUACCCUUGUAGUC